RNAcentral lists this ribosomal RNA (253 nucleotides) under uncultured bacterium. Its description in RNAcentral is "partial 16S ribosomal RNA". It matches the Rfam family "Bacterial small subunit ribosomal RNA", at positions 524 to 776 of the family's 1533-position model. RNAcentral also lists the same sequence under 1 other name. The record is from RNAcentral.
UACGUAGGCAGCAAACGUUGUUCGGAAUUACUGGGCGUAAAGAGUGUGUAGGCGGUCCUGUAAGUUUGGUGUGAAAUCUCCCGGCUUAACUGGGAGGGUGCGCCGAAAACUGCAAGGCUUGAGUACUGGAGAGGAUAGCGGAAUUCCUGGUGUAGCGGUGAAAUGCGUAGAUAUCAGGAGGAACACCGGCGGUGUAGACGGCUGUCUGGACAGUAACUGACGCUGAGACACGAAAGCGUGGGGAGCAAACAGG